GGGUCAGCAGGUUGGUCGUGCCUAUGGUAUGUACUGGCCUUGCUGAUUCCUCCCUCUUGAUGAGCCGUAAUGUCAUUAAUUUGGUGUUGCGGGGAAUCAGGACUGUUACUUUGAAAAAAUUAGAGUGUUUAAAGCAGGCAAACGCUUGAAUACAUUAGCAUGGAAUAAUGAAAUAGGACGUUCGAUCCUAUUUCGUUGGUUUCUAGGAUCAACGUA
RNAcentral lists this ribosomal RNA (216 nucleotides) under uncultured fungus. RNAcentral's name for it is "partial small subunit ribosomal RNA". The stretch from base 40 to 216 matches the Rfam family "Eukaryotic small subunit ribosomal RNA", at positions 686 to 864 of the family's 1831-position model. The record is from RNAcentral. Lineage: Eukaryota; Fungi.